UCCGCCUCUAUAUCCUCCUGUAUUUUCUCCCAUGCUGCGCCCCUCCGGAGACAUGUGGGGGAUGCCCAAACUUGCUGCAGGGAACAGCAGGAUGGCUCCGGAGUGCCCUUAUUUCAUCAGGAGUAGAGGCAAGUCUCCUUGCAGAAAACUUUGAACAAGUUGCAGACUCUGUCAAAUGCCACGAGUAGUGGUUCCAUAAGUAUAAGUGCUUGCAUGGAGGUGUUCAUGGUUGCAGGCCCCAG
This is a non-coding RNA of Pelobates cultripes (western spadefoot toad), 242 nucleotides long. The record is from the annotation of a GenBank genome assembly. Lineage: Eukaryota; Metazoa; Chordata; Amphibia; Anura; Pelobatidae.